Molecule: non-coding RNA, 30 nt
Filed under: Cricetulus griseus (Chinese hamster)
Lineage: Eukaryota; Metazoa; Chordata; Mammalia; Rodentia; Cricetidae
Source: RNAcentral
AUUGGACAAUUUGGAGCUGCUGUCUUCACC